This 889-nucleotide ribosomal RNA is filed under the name uncultured rumen bacterium. RNAcentral describes it as "bacterial SSU rRNA". It matches the Rfam family "Bacterial small subunit ribosomal RNA", at positions 505 to 1397 of the family's 1533-position model. The record is from RNAcentral.
GUGCCAGCAGCCGCGGUAAUACGGAAGGUCCGGGCGUUAUCCGGAUUUAUUGGGUUUAAAGGGAGCGCAGGCGGGCGUUUAAGCGUGCUGUGAAAUGCCGCGGCUCAACCGUGGAAGUGCAGCGCGAACUGGAUGUCUUGAGUGAGUACGACGCGGACGGAAUUCGUGGUGUAGCGGUGAAAUGCUUAGAUAUCACGAAGAACCCCGAUUGCGAAGGCAGUCCGCGAGUCCUUUACUGACGCUAAAGCUCGAAGGUGCGGGUACCGAACAGGAUUAGAUACCCUGGUAGUCCGCACGGUAAACGAUGGAUGCCCGCUGUUGGCGAUACAGUGUCAGCGGCCAAGAGAAAUCGUUAAGCAUCCCACCUGGGGAGUACGCCGGCAACGGUGAAACUCAAAGGAAUUGACGGGGGCCCGCACAAGCGGAGGAACAUGUGGUUUAAUUCGAUGAUACGCGAGGAACCUUACCCGGGCUUGAACUGCAGCAGAACGAUUCAGAGAUGAUGAGGCCCUUCGGGGCUGCUGUGGAGGUGCUGCAUGGUUGUCGUCAGCUCGUGCCGUGAGGUGUCGGCUUAAGUGCCAUAACGAGCGCAACCCUUUUCGCCAGUUGCCAUCAGGUGAUGCUGGGCACUCCGGCGAUACUGCCACCGUAAGGUGUGAGGAAGGUGGGGAUGACGUCAAAUCAGCACGGCCCUUACGUCCGGGGCUACACACGUGUUACAAUGGGUGGUACAGAGAGUCGGUGCAUGGCAAUAUGCAUCCAAUCAAUAAAGCCAUCCUCAGUUCGGAUUGGGGUCUGCAACCCGACCCCAUGAAGCUGGAUUCGCUAGUAAUCGCGCAUCAGCCAUGGCGCGGUGAAUACGUUCCCGGGCCUUGUACACACCGCCCGU